GAUGAACGCUGGCGGCGUGCCUAAUACAUGCAAGUCGAGCGAACGGACGAGAAGCUUGCUUCUCUGAUGUUAGCGGCGGACGGGUGAGUAACACGUGGAUAACCUACCUAUAAGACUGGGAUAACUUCGGGAAACCGGAGCUAAUGCCGGAUAAUAUUUUGAACCGCAUGGUUCAAAAGUGAAAGACGGUCUUGCUGUCACUUAUAGAUGGAUCCGCGCUGCAUUAGCUAGUUGGUAAGGUAACGGCUUACCAAGGCAACGAUGCAUAGCCGACCUGAGAGGGUGAGCGGCCACACUGGAACUGAGACACGGUCCAGACUCCUACGGGAGGCAGCAGUAGGGAAUCUUCCGCAAUGGGCGAAAGCCUGACGGAGCAACGCCGCGUGAGUGAUGAAGGUCUUCGGAUCGUAAAACUCUGUUAUUAGGGAAGAACAUAUGUGUAAGUAACUGUGCACAUCUUGACGGUACCUAAUCAGAAAGCCACGGCUAACUACGUG
RNAcentral lists this ribosomal RNA (497 nucleotides) under uncultured bacterium. RNAcentral's name for it is "partial 16S ribosomal RNA". It matches the Rfam family "Bacterial small subunit ribosomal RNA", at positions 28 to 507 of the family's 1533-position model. The record is from RNAcentral.